Long non-coding RNA from Oncorhynchus tshawytscha (Chinook salmon), 944 nucleotides. NCBI's taxonomy places the organism in Eukaryota, Metazoa, Chordata, Actinopteri, Salmoniformes, Salmonidae. The record is from Ensembl.
AGACGGCAGUCUUUGGAGGUAGACAGGGAGUCGGCAGUCUUUGGAGGUAGACAGGGAGACGGCAGUCUUUGGAGGUAGACAGGGAGACGGCAGCCUUUGGAGGCAGGGAGACGGCAGCCUUUGGAGGUAGACAGGGAGACGGCAGUCUUUGGAGGCAGGGAGACGGCAGCCUUUAGGGGCAGGGAGACGGCAGCCUUUGGAGGUAGACAGGGAGACGGCAGCCUUUGGAGGCAGGGAGACGGCAGACUUUGGAGGUAGACAGGAGACGGCAGCCUUUGGAGGCAGGAAGACGGCAGCCUUUGGAGGCAGGGAGACGGCAGCCUUUGGAGGCAGGGAGACGGCAGCCUUUAGAGGCAGGGAGACGGCAGCCUUUGGAGGUAGACAGGGAGACGGCAGUCUUUGGAGGUAGACAGGGAGACGGCAGCCUUUGGAGGCAGGGAGACGGCAGCCUUUGGAGGCAGGAGACGGCAGCCUUUGGAGGUAGACAGGGAGACAGCAGCCUUUGGAGGCAGGGAGAUGGCAGCCUUUGGAGGCAGGAAGACGGCAGCCUUUGGAGGCAGGGAGACGGCAGCCUUUGGAGGCAGGGAGACGGCAGCCUUUGGAGGCAGGGAGACGGCAGCCUUUAGAGGCAGGGAGACAGCACUGAGCACGAACUCGUGAUGCUCGAAGCCGAAGCGAGCUGCUCAGACCACUGCGCUAUGGCAGUUCACAAUGCUCUAGCAAGCCCUGACAAUACUUGAUGGUCUGAGGUCGGUUGAUUUGCAGAGUCUUCCCCCAACCACAGCCCCCUAGGUACGGUACUGCAUUGUAUAGCCUGCAACCACCGCUUCCAGCUUCCCCCUGGGUACGGUACUGCAUUGUAUAGCCUGCAACCACUGCUUCCAGCUUCCCCCUGGGUACGGUACUGCAUUGUAUAGCCUGCAACCACCCCUUCUAGCUUCCCC